UGGCUCAGUUGGUAGAGCAUGGUGUUUGCAACGCUAGGGUUGUGUGUUCGAUUCCCAC
RNAcentral lists this transfer RNA (58 nucleotides) under Salmo salar (Atlantic salmon). It matches the Rfam family "tRNA", at positions 8 to 63 of the family's 71-position model. From Rfam's summary of the family: Transfer RNA (tRNA) molecules are approximately 80 nucleotides in length. Their secondary structure includes four short double-helical elements and three loops (D, anti-codon, and T loops). The record is from Rfam by way of RNAcentral. Lineage: Eukaryota; Metazoa; Chordata; Actinopteri; Salmoniformes; Salmonidae.